This 67-nucleotide transfer RNA is filed under the name Geisha distinctissima. Its description in RNAcentral is "tRNA-Lys". The record is from RNAcentral. Lineage: Eukaryota; Metazoa; Arthropoda; Insecta; Hemiptera; Flatidae.
UAUUAGAUGACUGAAGCAAGUAAUGGUCUCUUAAACCAAAAUAUAGUAAAUCGACUACUCUUAAUGA